AUGGCUCAGGAUGAACGCUAGCUACAGGCUUAACACAUGCAAGGUCGCGGGGCAUCAUGGUGUGUAGCAAUACACACUGAUGGCGACCGGCGGAUGGGUGAGUAACGCGUAUCCAACCUGGCCCUAUCUCGGGCACAGCCCCUCGAAAGAGGGAUUAAUUCCCGAUGUUCCCACGAGUUCGCAUGUUCUUGUGGGCAAAGGCCUUUGCCGGAUAGGGAUGGGGAUGCGUUCCAUUAGGCAGUCGGCGGGUAACGGCCCACCGAGCCUUCGAUGGAUAGGGGUUCUGAGAGGAAGGCCCCCCACACUGGGACUGAGACACGGCCCAGACUCCUACGGGAGGCAGCAGUGAGGAAUAUUGGUCAAUGGCGGCAACGCUGAACCAGCCAAGUAGCGUGAGGGAUUACGGCCCUAUGGGUUUUAAACCUCUUUUGUUGGGGAGCAACCUGUGCCACUAGUGGCACACUGCGAGUACCCUUCGAAUAAGCAUCGGCUAACUCCGUGCCAGCAGCGGC
RNAcentral lists this ribosomal RNA (512 nucleotides) under uncultured bacterium. RNAcentral's name for it is "bacterial SSU rRNA". It matches the Rfam family "Bacterial small subunit ribosomal RNA", at positions 19 to 518 of the family's 1533-position model. The record is from RNAcentral.